RNAcentral lists this transfer RNA (71 nucleotides) under Heterocephalus glaber (naked mole-rat). It matches the Rfam family "tRNA". Rfam says of the family: Transfer RNA (tRNA) molecules are approximately 80 nucleotides in length. Their secondary structure includes four short double-helical elements and three loops (D, anti-codon, and T loops). Further hydrogen bonds mediate the characteristic L-shaped molecular structure. tRNAs have two regions of fundamental functional importance: the anti-codon, which is responsible for specific mRNA codon recognition, and the 3' end, to which the tRNAs corresponding amino acid is attached (by aminoacyl-tRNA synthetases). tRNAs cope with the degeneracy of the genetic code in two manners: having more than one tRNA (with a specific anti-codon) for a particular amino acid; and 'wobble' base-pairing, i.e. permitting non-standard base-pairing at the 3rd anti-codon position. Lineage: Eukaryota; Metazoa; Chordata; Mammalia; Rodentia; Bathyergidae. The record is from Rfam by way of RNAcentral.
GGAAGUAUAGCUAGUGGUAGAGCACUUACCUAUCAUGUAAAAGACCCUGGGUUCAAUCCCCAGUACUGUAA